Molecule: ribosomal RNA, 253 nt
Filed under: uncultured bacterium
Lineage: Bacteria
Description: partial 16S ribosomal RNA
Rfam family: Bacterial small subunit ribosomal RNA
Source: RNAcentral
UACGGGGGGGGCAAGCGUUGUUCGGAAUUAUUGGGCGUAAAGAGCUCGUAGGCGGUCUGUCGCGUCUGCUGUGAAAACUCAGGGCUUAACCCUGAGCUUGCAGUGGGUACGGGCAGACUAGAGUGCGGUAGGGGAGACUGGAAUUCCUGGUGUAGCGGUGAAAUGCGCAGAUAUCAGGAGGAACACCGGUGGCGAAGGCGGGUCUCUGGGCAACAACUGACGCUGAGGAGCGAAAGCGUGGGGAGCGAACAGG